UAUAUUUUAAUGUAUGAUGCAUAGAAGAUUUUGAUUCUUUUAGAAAUAGUUUAAUUCUAUUAAAUAUAAAAUUUU
RNAcentral lists this transfer RNA (75 nucleotides) under Polypedilum vanderplanki (sleeping chironomid). RNAcentral's name for it is "tRNA-Gln". The record is from RNAcentral. Lineage: Eukaryota; Metazoa; Arthropoda; Insecta; Diptera; Chironomidae.